CAACCCUCACGCGUAGCGUGGUCUUGGGCACUGCCGGCAACGGCUUGCCUUAAAAUCAGUGGCGGUGCCAUCGAGCUCUACGCGUAGUAAUAAACCCCUCGCGUGUGAGUCUCGGCGGUCGCUUGCCAGCAACCCCCAAUUUUUUAUGG
Molecule: unclassified non-coding RNA, 149 nt
Filed under: uncultured Helotiaceae
Lineage: Eukaryota; Fungi; Ascomycota; Leotiomycetes; Helotiales; Helotiaceae
Description: sequence contains ITS2
Source: RNAcentral